This 321-nucleotide ribosomal RNA is filed under the name uncultured Pseudomonadota bacterium. Its description in RNAcentral is "bacterial SSU rRNA". It matches the Rfam family "Bacterial small subunit ribosomal RNA", at positions 29 to 351 of the family's 1533-position model. The record is from RNAcentral. Lineage: Bacteria; Pseudomonadati; Pseudomonadota.
AUUGAACGCUGGCGGCAUGCCUUACACAUGCAAGUCGAACGGCAGCACGGGGGCAACCCUGGUGGCGAGUGGCGAACGGGUGAGUAAUGCAUCGGAACGUGCCCAGUAGUGGGGGAUAACCCGGCGAAAGCCGGGCUAAUACCGCAUACGACCUAAGGGUGAAAGCGGGGGACCGUAAGGCCUCGCGCUAUUGGAGCGGCCGAUGUCUGAUUAGCUAGUUGGCGGGGUAAGAGCCCACCAAGGCGACGAUCAGUAGCUGGUCUGAGAGGACGACCAGCCACACUGGGACUGAGACACGGCCCAGACUCCUACGGGAGGCUG